RNAcentral lists this ribosomal RNA (195 nucleotides) under uncultured bacterium. RNAcentral describes it as "partial small subunit ribosomal RNA". It matches the Rfam family "Bacterial small subunit ribosomal RNA", at positions 338 to 525 of the family's 1533-position model. The record is from RNAcentral.
CCUACGGGAGGCAGCAGUGGGGAAUAUUGCACAAUGGGCGCAAGCCUGAUGCAGCCAUGCCGCGUGUGUGAAGAAGGCCUUCGGGUUGUAAAGCACUUUCAGUCAGGAGGAAAGAUUAGUAGUUAAUACCUGCUAGUUGUGACGUUACUGACAGAAGAAGCACCGGCUAACUCCGUGCCAGCAGCCGCGGUAAUA